Long non-coding RNA from Micropterus dolomieu (smallmouth bass), 210 nucleotides. RefSeq lists it as uncharacterized. Lineage: Eukaryota; Metazoa; Chordata; Actinopteri; Centrarchiformes; Centrarchidae. The transcript has 2 exons. The record is from RefSeq and is a predicted model, not a curated record.
CCUGCCAGAAGUGGGCUUGAACUGUACACAUCAUACAGCUAUCACCUCAAAGGCACGCUGUGACCCUCCAUUCAUGCUCCUUCAGAGAGGUCAAGAUUUAUGCCAUGGCUGUGAACCUGAUGUCAUGCUCUCUCCCUCCAGCAGCUGUCUCAACCUGCUACCUUUACAAGUUUCAAUUCUCAGGAGGGAAUAAAAAUGGGGAGAACAAAA